UUCAAAUUUGACGGAAAAUGCAUGAUGUGUUUGGAAUAAUUUAGAAGAAGAAUCCCUCAAAAUUACCAUCGAAGGAUAUGCAAGUCUCGAAAGAAACAUGUAUAACACCCCAUCGUUUUGAUUUAGAAUCAACUUCUAUGGAUGAAGACAACUAUCCUUUUAUAACUGGGGGAAGUAGAUAUUCC
Gordionus sp. m RMFG-2023 is the source of this 185-nucleotide long non-coding RNA. RefSeq lists it as uncharacterized. The transcript has 3 exons. NCBI's taxonomy places the organism in Eukaryota, Metazoa, Nematomorpha, Gordioida, Chordodea, Parachordodidae. The record is from RefSeq and is a predicted model, not a curated record.